Molecule: unclassified non-coding RNA, 27 nt
Filed under: Mus musculus (house mouse)
Lineage: Eukaryota; Metazoa; Chordata; Mammalia; Rodentia; Muridae
Description: oocyte_clustered_small_RNA2033
Source: RNAcentral
UAAACCUGACCCAAAUGGAACUGUAGG